Oncorhynchus tshawytscha (Chinook salmon) is the source of this 296-nucleotide long non-coding RNA. Lineage: Eukaryota; Metazoa; Chordata; Actinopteri; Salmoniformes; Salmonidae. The record is from Ensembl.
GCCACAAAGUGUCGGGUAUGUGGUGGCUUGUUAUAAGGAACCAGAACACGGAUGUAUCAAGAACAGCCUCAAUGUGUCGGGGCAUGAACUUUACAAGGUCUCCAAAGCAUUCCACAGGGAUGCUGGCCCAUGUUGACUCCAAUGCUUCCCACAGUUGUAUCAAGUUGGCUUGAUGUCCUUUGGGUGGUGGACCAUUCUUGAUAGACACGGGGAACUGGUGAGUGUGAAAAACCCUGCAGUUGUGCAGUUAUUGACACAAACCAGGGCACCUACUACCAUGCCCCGUUCAAAGGCAC